AGUGAACGCUGGCGGUAGGCCUAACACAUGCAAGUCGAACGGCAGCACAGUAAGAGCUUGCUCUUACGGGUGGCGAGUGGCGGACGGGUGAGGAAUACAUCGGAAUCUACUUUUUCGUGGGGGAUAACGUAGGGAAACUUACGCUAAUACCGCAUACGACCUACGGGUGAAAGCAGGGGAUCUUCGGACCUUGCGCGAAUGAAUGAGCCGAUGUCGGAUUAGCUAGUUGGCGGGGUAAAGGCCCACCAAGGCGACGAUCCGUAGCUGGUCUGAGAGGAUGAUCAGCCACACUGGAACUGAGACACGGUCCAGACUCCUACGGGAGGCAGCAGUGGGGAAUAUUGGACAAUGGGCGCAAGCCUGAUCCAGCCAUACCGCGUGAGUGAAGAAGGCCUUCGGGUUGUAAAGCCCUUUUGUUGGGAAAGAAAAGCAGCAGGUUAAUACCCCGCUGUUCUGACGGUACCCAAAGAAUAAGCACCGGCUAACUUCGUG
This 492-nucleotide ribosomal RNA is filed under the name uncultured bacterium. RNAcentral describes it as "partial 16S ribosomal RNA". It matches the Rfam family "Bacterial small subunit ribosomal RNA", at positions 29 to 507 of the family's 1533-position model. The record is from RNAcentral.